UACGUAGGGUGCGAGCGUUGUCCGGAAUUAUUGGGCGUAAAGAGCUUGUAGGCGGUUUGUCGCGUCUGCUGUGAAAAUCCGGGGCUCAACCCCGGACUUGCAGUGGGUACGGGCAGACUAGAGUGUGGUAGGGGAGACUGGAAUUCCUGGUGUAGCGGUGAAAUGCGCAGAUAUCAGGAGGAACACCGGUGGCGAAGGCGGGUCUCUGGGCCGUAACUGGCGCUGAGGAGCGAAAGCAUGGGGAGCGAACAGG
Molecule: ribosomal RNA, 253 nt
Filed under: uncultured bacterium
Lineage: Bacteria
Description: partial 16S ribosomal RNA
Rfam family: Bacterial small subunit ribosomal RNA
Source: RNAcentral